Molecule: ribosomal RNA, 550 nt
Filed under: Trichoderma harzianum
Lineage: Eukaryota; Fungi; Ascomycota; Sordariomycetes; Hypocreales; Hypocreaceae
Description: eukaryotic LSU rRNA
Rfam family: 5.8S ribosomal RNA (bases 176-329)
Source: RNAcentral
UGUGAACGUUACCAAACUGUUGCCUCGGCGGGAUCUCUGCCCCGGGUGCGUCGCAGCCCCGGACCAAGGCGCCCGCCGGAGGACCAACCAAAACUCUUUUUGUAUACCCCCUCGCGGGUUUUUUAUAAUCUGAGCCUUCUCGGCGCCUCUCGUAGGCGUUUCGAAAAUGAAUCAAAACUUUCAACAACGGAUCUCUUGGUUCUGGCAUCGAUGAAGAACGCAGCGAAAUGCGAUAAGUAAUGUGAAUUGCAGAAUUCAGUGAAUCAUCGAAUCUUUGAACGCACAUUGCGCCCGCCAGUAUUCUGGCGGGCAUGCCUGUCCGAGCGUCAUUUCAACCCUCGAACCCCUCCGGGGGGUCGGCGUUGGGGAUCGGCCCUGCCUUUGGCGGUGGCCGUCUCCGAAAUACAGUGGCGGUCUCGCCGCAGCCUCUCCUGCGCAGUAGUUUGCACACUCGCAUCGGGAGCGCGGCGCGUCCACAGCCGUUAAACACCCAACUUCUGAAAUGUUGACCUCGGAUCAGGUAGGAAUACCCGCUGAACUUAAGCAUAUC